Molecule: long non-coding RNA, 581 nt
Filed under: Homo sapiens (human)
Lineage: Eukaryota; Metazoa; Chordata; Mammalia; Primates; Hominidae
Description: HSALNT0240702
Source: RNAcentral
CUGCAUUCCAGGCCUUUCCAGCUGGUUAUCGACCCUGCCAAUUACUCCUUCCCCUCCCCUUAGCAAGGGGACAACAAAGACUUCCCCGCCUCCACGGCUGUGAAUGUCAAAGUUAAAUGGACGCUCUGAUGCCAUGAACCAAUUAAUCUACUCAGCUAGGCUGGUGGGUGAAUGCGCAUGCACAGAAGUAUCCACUGUAAAAUGUGACCUCAUACACCAGACAAAGCUCAUACCCCUUCCAAUUACCCAGUCACUAGAUCCGCUGCACACCCUUCUGCGCUUCCGUCUACCUCCUUCUUCACCUCUUUUGUUCCUCCACCACAACCCCAGAAAAAGAUAAACUGGUCCCUGGAGCUUGAGGAUGAAGCUGGCAGUGGUGAAGCCGAGGCAGGAAAGGUGGGAAAAUGACAUCAGGAGAUGUAAAUGAGAAGCAGGGGUGACUUGUGGCUCCCCUUCUGCACCCCAGCAGUGACAGACGCCCACGACUCUCUGCCACUCCCCAUUUAGUUGGAUGGCUCCCUCCUUCCCAGGCGACACUCUCUCCUUGACACCACUACACUCUCCAGGGCUGUGGGUCUGGC